RNAcentral lists this long non-coding RNA (278 nucleotides) under Lathyrus oleraceus (garden pea). RNAcentral's name for it is "Pisum sativum (pea) long non-coding RNA (PSAT_LNC031515)". The record is from RNAcentral. Lineage: Eukaryota; Viridiplantae; Streptophyta; Magnoliopsida; Fabales; Fabaceae.
AAGAAAACGCGAAGGCCCAAGGUCCAUAAACAACUUAAGUCAGGUGUGACAUGAUUAAAUAACAUUUUAAUUUAAAAAAUCAUGUGGACAUAACAUCAAUUGGGCAACUUCACUUAAGUGACUAGAAGACAAAACAAACAUGCACGACCAUGAUUAAAACAAAUGCAUGGGAUCUAACGGUUCAGGAGGCGCCACAUCAUCAUCUUCCUCACAAACCAAACCCUAAUGCCAUAUUCAUGCAAAAAAACGUGAAAACCAAGUGGAUUUCUUCAAUCUUC